AUCGAACGCUGGCGGCAGGCCUAACACAUGCAAGUCGAGCGGAUGAAGAGAGCUUGCUCUCUGAUUCAGCGGCGGACGGGUGAGUAAUGCCUAGGAAUCUGCCUGGUAGUGGGGGACAACGUUUCGAAAGGAACGCUAAUACCGCAUACGUCCUACGGGAGAAAGUGGAGGAUCUUCGGACCUCACGCUAUCAGAUGAGCCUAGGUACGAUUAGCUAGUUGGUGAGGUAAAGGCUCACCAAGGCGACGAUCGUUAACUGGUCUGAGAGGAUGAUCAGUCACACUGGAACUGAGACACGGUCCAGACUCCUACGGGAGGCAGCAGUGGGGAAUAUUGGACAAUGGGCGAAAGCCUGAUCCAGCCAUGCCGCGUGUGUGAAGAAGGUCUUCGGAUUGUAAAGCACUUUAAGUUGGGAGGAAGGGCAGUAAGUUAAUACCUUGCCGUUUUGACGUUACCGACAGAAUAAGCACCGGCUAACUUCGUGCCAGCAGCCGCCGCCG
Molecule: ribosomal RNA, 500 nt
Filed under: uncultured bacterium
Lineage: Bacteria
Description: partial 16S ribosomal RNA
Rfam family: Bacterial small subunit ribosomal RNA
Source: RNAcentral